UUAAAAAGCUCGUAGUUGAAUUUCGGGAUUAGUACGCUGGUCGUGCCUUCGGUACGUACUGGUGUUACUGAUUUCUACCUUCUGACGAACCAUCAUGUCAUUAAUUUGGUGUGGUGGGGAAUCAGGACUGUUACUUUGAAAAAAUUAGAGUGUUUAAAGCAGGCUCGCGCUUGAAUACAUUAGCAUGGAAUAAUGAAAUAGGACGUUGAUCCUAUUUUGUUGGUUUCUAGGAUUGACGUAAUGAUCAAUAGGGAUAGUUGGGGG
Molecule: ribosomal RNA, 264 nt
Filed under: uncultured Glomeromycotina
Lineage: Eukaryota; Fungi; Glomeromycota
Description: partial 18S ribosomal RNA
Rfam family: Eukaryotic small subunit ribosomal RNA
Source: RNAcentral